CUACCUCUUGACACUGAUAUGGACCAUCAUUAUACAGCCCGACACCUAUGGUUCUCUUUGUUUGUAAUUUUGUUUUACUGUUGUGGAGUAGAAAUGAUGCUUUUAAAAUUUAUGUCUCAGAGUUUUAAUAAUUUCAUGGAGUUCGGGAGGUUGAUUCUCAUGUCUAUGAGACCUGAGAUAUACAGUGUUCACGAUCCUUAUGUUUGGUCUUGCUGUGUUUUUAAGAAUAAGAAGAAAGAAACAUGACAUUCAUGUACUGGAUAAAUUGUUGAUGUCUAUCUCAAUGAGUUCACAAAGUUUAUUACCUUCAUCAGGUACUGUCGUUGAUACUUAGCAAAUUUGCAUUAAUUUUGGUGUGAAUUGAUGGUGGUCUUCUUACCCUGCAAAUGAAUCUAAAGAGAUUAGAGGUAGGUGUUGUCGUGUCGAUGAUGUUUUAUUGACUGGAGCUCAUAUUUAUACAAGAUUGUAGGACUAGAGUCGUAACUACACUAAUACCUCAUAUUUAUCUACAGCUAACUACUGCACUGUCCUCUGUGCAAUAAUAGUUAUGUAUAAGUAUAACUCUACGCGAAUAAACACACAUUUUUUUGGAAGAAUAAUAUACACACGAAUAACAUAUAAUACUAUGAUAUUAAUCCAUACAAACUAACUUUAACUGUUUUUAUACUGAUCAUAUUUAUGUUUGUCGCAGCGUGGUCUUUGCAAGCUCUCCAUUCUUUAUGUCAGCUGAGGCUGCUGCUGCAGUAUCAGACAACUUUCCAUUCUGACGGCCGGAAAAGUCUACCCAUUUUUGUUGAAACUGGCGUCAUUCCUCAGGUUAGCUGAAAUCCACAGUUGAGGGUUUAAUUAAAUGAGCUUAUGUGUUGUUUAAAAUAAGCUGUGGAAUCAUGCCUUACAUAAAUAGAUCUGUGUAACUUUUAUCUUCGAAUUGUCCUAAUUACCAUGCAGUAUUCAGAUCUAUAACUCAGAAUAGUUGCAUUAAUUUAUAAAAAAGUUAUCACAGUUGAAAAAGUGGUUUACAGCUGACUUUCUUCCGUUGCAUUAACACUCUCAUGACCCCAUACUAUUUUGGAGGUUUCAUAGCUUUUUUAAUAUUUUUAGGUAUUUGUUUCUUGUUGAGAGCAUAUAUAAAUACUCUGUAAGAAUUGCUAAGACCAUCAUAGCUGAUUUGACGAGCAAUCGGAUAUUUUGUGCAAUUUCUUACACCUUUCCUUAGAGCAAUAAUAACUUCUAGAUCACUCAAAUCAUCACCCUCUUCUUCAAUCUCUUCAAUUAUCACUUCUCGAUCAGCAUUCGUAAUUCCCCCUUCACUGUUUCCUGUCUCAAAAGUAUCAUCCUCAAUCACAUUAAUCUUUAUUCUUUGAUAAACAAAAAGAGGUUUUUCUAAUGGUUCCUUUGAUGACAUUUGAGACUCUCCCCUGACUUACAACAUCAGUUGGGAGCUCCCCAUGACUUAUAACUUCAGAUGGAGUGUCUUCUUCCUCUAAACAAAUCGUAUCCACGAGGCUAUGGUUGCCAUCAUUAUCUGUCUGCUCCCCCUGAAUCACAGUGAUAGGAAAGUAGGUCUGUGAUUCAAAAAAGGUAGCAUCCCGAGUGGUGUAAACUCGUUUGGUCGGAGGAUGGUAGCACCUAUAGCCCUUCUGGGUUGAAGAGUAGCCUAUAAACACGCAUUUCAAGGCGCGCGGAUCUAACUUGGAGCGGUUGGGUGCUGAGUUGUGAAUGAAAACCGUGCAACCAAAUACUCGAGGAGGAAGAUCAGCUGAGAAACUGGCAAGAUGGGGAAAAUCUGCCAGAAGAACAUGUCGAGGAAUCUUGAAGUCCAAGACCCUACUGGGCAUGCGAUUGAUUAGGUAUGUGGCUGUUAGAACAGCCUCUCCCCACAAAUGCUUCGGAACAUUGUGUGUAAACAUGAGUGAGCGAGCAACAUCGAGUAAGUGUCUAUUCUUGCGUUCGGCAAUGCCGUUUUGUUGAGGGGUGUCGACGCACGAACUUGCAUGAAUGAUGCCAUGAAGGUGUAAAAAAGAGCCGAGGUCUUUGUUGAAGUAAUCGUGGGCAUUGUCAGUUUUCAAAACCUUGAUGUGAGUCUGAAACUGGGUAGCUACCAUUUUGUGAAAUAGCUGACAAAAUAUGUCUGUUUCGGACUUUUCUUUCAUUAAGAAAGUCCACGUCAUUCUUGUGUGAUGAUCAAUAAAUGUUAUGAACCAACGAGCCUCAUUGAUGUUCUUGACUUUCAUAGGUCCCCAAAUAUCGCUAUGAACUACACUAAAAGGUGUGGUAGGUCGAUAGCCGAUUCUAGGAUACGAAGACGCUUAUGCUUCGCAAGUUGACACACAUCACAUCUCAAAUCUUUUGAACCUUUAUUCUGAAAUAAUGCAGGUAAUAAUUUUUCAAGAAAGUAAAACUGGGAUGACCAAGACGGAAGUGCCACAAUAUGGCUUGAUUCUCAAUGUGUUCAAUACUAGAAACAACAUUAGCACUACUACUAUGGGCUUUACUGGAACUGUCCUCAUCCUGAGUUCCCUUCAACAGGUAGAGACCAUUACGCAUUUCACCACUUCCAAGCAUCUUUCCAGUCUCUACCUCCUAUAACACACAAUCAGGAGAGCGAAUUUUAGCUUCACAAUGAAGAGCAUGCUUUACUUGAUGAAUAGAGAGAAAAUUGCAGUCAAGUUUAUGCACAUAAAGUACUGAACAUAGAGUAAGAUCCUUAGUAACCCUAACAAUGCCUAUUCCUUUUAUCGGUGUUAUUGAGCCAUCGGCAAUCCGGACACCUGAGGUUCUAGGGUAAGGUUUUAAGUGUUGUAUCAACUCCUUACAACCAGUCAUAUGGUCUGUAGCUCCGAAAUUAAGGAUCCAAAUAUUCUGAGAAUUUUGACUAGAACUGUAAGCAGCCGAAGUACCUUAUUUGGCGAACAGACUAGACAUGUAAGAUUUCUUGGGAUCGGCUUUCUCAGUAUUCAUGAGUUGUGAAAAUAAUUUCUUUAGAGUCUCUAACUGUCCAGCUGAAAACUGUGUCGUAUCAUCAGUUUUGGUGGCAACUGUGUUUGCACGAGACUUCUACUUAUUCAAUUUCAGUCUGGGUCUCCAUCCUUGUGGUCCACCAACUAUUUUCCAGCACUCCUUUGUCGUAUGAAAGGGUCGUUGACAAAGAUCACACCAUUUUGAAGUGGCAGCAGAAGUAAGAUUUUGUUUCCCCUUGUUAUGGUUGUUCUUAACGAAGAGAGCCGUGGUUGAGGUCUCAGUUUUUAGGGCUGAACUGCUGGGUUCAGAGGUUGUCUUCGUCUCUGUAACCAUCAGAUGACGCCGACCUUCUUCUCUCAAAACCUCAGCAAACGCCUCCUUCAGACUUGGAAAGGGUUUCGUUCCCAUAACCCUGCUUUUCACAGCACCUAGGUCUUGAUUUAGUCCAAGAAGCAGUUGAACUGUCCUCUUCUUGUCCAUGAAUGUCCGGAAUGUUUUUGCAUCAUUCGGAGUAUCCCACGUCUGAGCUUCAUACAAAUCAAGUUGAAGCCAGGUUCGCACCAGCCGAUUGUAGUACUUCGUAGCACUCAAGUUACCUUGCUUGAAAUUGUAGAGUUUGGACUCAAUUUCGAACAAAGCAGAUGAGUUGUCUUGCGUGGAGUAGGUUUCUUUCACAUCAUCCCAAAGCUCCUUUGCAGAUUGAUGUAGAAGAUAGUUGUCGCCGAUAUCUGGUUCCAUCGUGGAGAUGAGCCAGAACCGAACUUGAUUGUCAUCAUUGUCCCACUUGGUGAAGGCAGCUGAGUCGGAUUCUUCUGGUUUGCUUGCAAUACCAGUAAGAUAUUCCCCUUUCUGUUUCCCAGUGAUGAACAUCCGGACUGACUGAGACCAUUGGAGGUAGUUGUUACCAUUGAAUUUCCUAAUGGACGACUAAGAUCUUUGGAGGUAGUUUUUACCAUUGAAUUUCCUAAUGGAAGCUCCUCCAGAGCCUGGUUCAGAUCCGAAAUUGUUGUUGUUGUUGUUGGCUGCCAUCUCAGUUUCGGAGAUGACAGAAGAAGGAUGAAUGGUGGAAGAAGACGAGUGUUUUGGAAAGGAAGAAGGUGAAACAAUCUUGUUGUCCGUGGUCAUGAUGAACCAACAGUGAUUCGUCUGUGGUCAUGGUGAACCAACGGUGAGAUUAACACCAACGGUAGCGGAAGAUGUAGCCGGCAGCUCUAUUACCAUAUUGAAUUUAUGAGAGAAAACUUUCAAUUGUAUUAAGAUAUGAAGGAUUAUAUAAGGGUUACAUAGGUUUAUAUAGAGUUAGGAUAGGAGAAUCCUUCCUUAACUAUAAAAACUCUAAGUACUAUUUCUAUACUAAUAAAAAAAAAUAUUGAAACUUAUUUCUAUAUUAAUAAAGAAAAUAUAAUAUUUUUCAUUCCAUGCAUUAUUCGUCGUAGAUUCUUAUGCACACACUAAAAAAUUGCUAGUAUAUAUAUUUUGCAGCAUUAUGUGCUGAAAUUUUAGAAUUUUUGUUGCGGAAUCCAAGAAGAACAGUGAAGUCAAGUUAAUUUGAGGCUAUUCUUUGUUUUCAUUCAAGGGUCCCUGAGGACUCUGAGAAUUUGGAUGAUAUUGGUGCCUGAACAUGCUAGUUUGAACAGAAGUCUCGCAGUUGGCUAGUUUUUUUGUAUACUAGGGUCUAGAGGUAUGAAUUUGAUCCAAGUAUGGGAAUAUGUUAUUUCUUAUCUGCAGGUUCUGGAGGCCAUAUUCAACAUUUAGUGUCUUCUAGUUCAUUGGCCUAAGGUUUUGAUGGCUUUUGAAAGGUAUGAUCUUUUGCUCUUUUGACUUCAUGAAGUAAUUUGUUAAAUUUUCAUUGAUUUUUAAGCAAAAGACUUAACCUCUUUCUAAAAAUAAAAAUAAAAAAGUAAACGACGUAACCUACUGUGUUGCUCUCACUUUUAUUCAGUGACUUAUCUAUUUAUUUAUAUAUAUGAUGAUGAAAGUAAAACAUAAAGAACUCAAAGAGAAAUAAGAUGAUAAAACGCUAAUAUGAAACCUUGAGUUAUUUUCUCUUCCGCACCUUGCCUCAUAGCUUCUUCCUCUUCCUUCAAUUUCAAAAUUUUCACCUCUCUGAGAUUUUGCUUUGCCAUAAUCCUUCAAUUGCUCUUGCCUGUCAUCAGUUUUCCUCUUCGUCAGCCAUCUUGGUUCUAUUACCAUUGCCUUCCGCUUGUUGUUGUCAUUGUUUCGAGUCCGGCUCUGUCUUGUCUUCUUCUUCUCCUUUGUUCCAUUACCAUUUACCACAUUCCCCUUCUUCCAGUCCCACCCCAAACGCAUUUGUAAUAACUCAGAAGACUAUAGUAGACGAUGGUUGCCAUUGUUACACAUUGAUGACGACUCUGUUUCACCGUUGCCCUCAACCUCCUCCUUACUGCCGUCGCAUGAUGCCGUCGCAUGACAGCAUGCCAUUAUAGAGCUCAUAAGGAAGAUUCAGUUGAUCUCUCUUUCAUACCUUGCCUCGUAGCUCCUUACUCUUCUUCUUCUUCCUUCAUUGGCAGUUUGGCACACCGGUCAUUUGCAGAAUCCUUUCUCUCUUUUCUCUGAGAUUUUGCUUUGCUAUCAUCUGUCGAUUGUUCUUAGCCUCCCAUCAACUUUUUCCUUUCACAGCCACCUUGGUUCUAUUACUAGCUUCUCCUUGCCGCCCUUGUUGUUUGAGCUCGAGGUGGCUGUCUAUGAAGAAUAAUUUUUAAUAUGAAAUUUUUAGUUCUUCUCUCUUUCACGCCCCACCUCAUUAGCUCCUCCUUAUUAUGUUCUUCAUUCGUUCGUAAAUUCAGAAUUCUCUCUCCUUUCUCUGGCCAUCAAUUUUUCCCUUCAGCGAAAACGAAAGUAGUAUGUCGGCAAACAGUCCCCCAAACUGAUAGAUACACAGGAGAAAGGGGAGGAAUUUAGUGGGACAUAGUCAUGGGUGCAGCGCAGCCACAAGAAGUUGUAAAUCCCGG
This 5933-nucleotide long non-coding RNA is filed under the name Linum usitatissimum (flax). RNAcentral describes it as "long non-coding RNA (LUSI_LNC007043)". The record is from RNAcentral. Lineage: Eukaryota; Viridiplantae; Streptophyta; Magnoliopsida; Malpighiales; Linaceae.